Long non-coding RNA from Gorilla gorilla gorilla (western lowland gorilla), 2883 nucleotides. RefSeq lists it as uncharacterized. NCBI's taxonomy places the organism in Eukaryota, Metazoa, Chordata, Mammalia, Primates, Hominidae. The transcript is spliced from 3 exons. The record is from RefSeq and is a predicted model, not a curated record.
GGCAGGGUGGGGGUAUCUCCUGCACCCCCAAGGGUGUAGCCCAUCUCUCCUCUGCUGUGGACACUCAGCGCCCACCCCAGGUGCCUGGACACCACCACGCCCUGGACACGGCUGCCUGGAAGAAGACGGGUUCCCACGCCACCCUGGAGAAAUUUGCCUGGUGGGCCCACCCGGCCCUUACCUGCCACGCCCGGCGCAGACCAAGCAAUUUCACUUCCCAGUCCCCUGGGUGGGUGGCAGCAGGCAGGGUGGGUGGAAUGUUCCGACGCCCACACACUGCACACUUCUGUUCGGGGCAGCUGGGCAGGGCGGCCUCUGGGAGCCUGAGCCCCUCAGAGUCCAAGGAGCCCGGAGAGGGCCCAGCUUCCGGCAUCGGGGGACGGCUAGGGACAGCGCCUCUGCUCUCACGGCCUGGGGUGCCGCUGAGCCCCAAGGGCAGAUCCCGAGUGGAGGACACUGCACAGCCCUUCUGAGCCUCCUCUCCACAUGCUGUGGGUGGUGGGCUGGGCCCCGGGAGCUCUAAGCCAGGCCCUGGUCUGUGACACCCUCCUCGGGCCACCAGACAGAGCAGGGUUGAUUCGCAGAGCAAGCAAAGCCUCAGAAUGUGCCUUCCAGGCCAUGGUGGGUAGCAGGAGGCAGGACUCUUCUAGAAGUAGGGGUCUGGCCUGAGGCUACGUCCUUCGCAGGACGGUGCUGGUGGCCCCGGGCUCUCCCGGCAAAUCCCUGCGAUGGUGGAAGGAGGGCCGCUUAGGACCGAGGGAAAACCCUCCUGUGGGUGGGAGGCCGGGGUCCUAGGAGGUUGGCCUUGGAUCUGCAGGGCCUGCUCUGCGGGACCCGGAGAAGCCACUUGGAGAGGGAGCUCCGGAGCCACAGGGUCACGACUGUGUGUUGCUCAGAUCUGAAGGUUUGUGAAGCCUAGAGGUCGGGUGACGGGCCAGGCUCACGGGACACCCUUGCUUCACGAACAUCUCUCCCUGAACCACCACGAGGCCUGGUCAAAGGGAGUUCACUCUUGGCGGAGAGAAAGGAGACACGUCUCACACGCCUGAUGGGGAAAGAACAGGAGCGAGCAGCUGUUCCCGCCAGGCCGAUGAGGAGACUGAGGUUCAGAGAGGAACCCAGGCAGCCGGUGGCUCCUGUACUUCCUUUGGGGGCGUGAGGUGAAGACGGGGCCAGCGCCCCUGGGGCAGCUGAGACCAGGGCGGGGAAGACCAUAAAUCAGGCAAGAGCCAGUGCCCGGUGCCCCAAGGUGAGCACAUGGAGGGACGGUGACUGCUGGUCCUGGGAGCGAGCACAGAGCCCACGGGAAAGCGAGGAGCUCAGUAGGAAAGUGAGGAGACCACCAGGAAAGCGCAGAGCCCAUGGGAAAGGGAUGAGCCCACGGGAAAGCGAGGAGCCCACGGGAAAGCGCGGAGCCUGCGGGAAAGGGCGGAGCCCGCGGGAAAGGGCGGAGCCCACUGAGAAAGCGCGGAGCCCACGGGAAAGGAAGGAGCCCACGAGAAGGCGCGGAGCCCAUGGGAAAGGGAGGAGCCCAUGGGAAAGCGCGGAGCCCACGGGAAAUCAGGGCCGCACUGCACAACAGUUCAGAUGCUUCCAGCGUCCGCUGGGCGCCCGGUCCGUCCCAGAAGAAGAUUCAACCUGCACUGACCAGGCCUGUGUCUGCCUGAGAAUCAGCCUGGGGUUCCUUCAACGCACGCAUACAGAGUCCUAAAGGGCCAUGGGAAGCACCCCGAACCUUUCCUUAAAUCGCAGAAGGGAGCAAGGGAAGAAUCCACAUGGCGGACAGGCUAAGAUCCCAAAUCCCAGUAAUCACUAUGACUUGGUUAAGAAAUAAGGUGCAAGUCCCACCAACAAUUCCAAAAGGAAACUUCAUAUGCAAACCAAAAUCACAUCAAUCAGCUGAGUCUUCAUUUUCUUCACGUGCCAACAAAAAUAAGUAUCCCUGGGAGGACAAUGACGGGAGGCAGAGGCAGGCUAAGUCCUCGCAGACGGGGAGAUGGUUCCUCACACACGUGGUCAGAGAAAAAUACGGCAAGUACCAGAAAAUUAAAACAGGAUGAAUAUCUCUCUAGCAACUAGCAAAAACUGGAGUGAAAUGUACCUGCCAAGGGUGAGAAAACAGCAAACACACAGCAGCACCAAGAAAUCGUCGCCCUGAGAUGACGGGAGCAGACGUAUGACUGGCAAUGGCAAGAGCAAAACACAUGAGCGGAUUUUCCCCUCGCAGCCUCAGAUCUGCUUUCUGUCCCUGUGGGUUUGCCUCCUCUGGGUACGUUCUGAGUUAAUUUUUGUAUAAGUUAGGAGACUUAGGUCAAAGUUCCUUUUUUUUUUGCCUGUAGAUGUCUGAUUCUUCCAGCACCAUUUGUUGAAAAGCUAGUCUUCUUCCACUGAAUUGUUUUUAUAUCUUUGUGAAAAAUCAGGUGGGCCUAUUUGUGUGGGUCAGUUUCUGGGUUUUCUGUUCUGUUCCGUUGGUUCGAGAGUCUACCCUGAUGCACACACGUCACUUUCUCAACAUUGUCACGAUGGAUGAGGCUUUAAUAUCCAUGCCAGCUAGAGUGACACCUCCACUUUUUUCUCCCUUGUUUCAGGAUUGGUUUUGUUUGUUUGUUUGAGAUGGAGUCCCACUGUGUCGCCCAGGCUGGAGUGCAGUGGCAUGAUCUUGGCUCACUAGAAUCUCUGCCUCCCGGGUUCAAGUGAUUCUCCUGCCUCAGCCUCCCGAGUAGCUGGGAUAACAGGCACAACCACCAUGCCCAGCUAAUUUUUGUAUUUUUAGUAGAGAUGGGGUUUCACUUUGUUGGCCAGGCUGGUCUCAAUCUCCUGAUCUCGUGAUCCACCCACCUCGGCCUCCCAAAAUGCUGGGAUUACUAGCGUGAGCCACCGAGC